This 206-nucleotide ribosomal RNA is filed under the name uncultured bacterium. RNAcentral describes it as "partial 16S ribosomal RNA". It matches the Rfam family "Bacterial small subunit ribosomal RNA", at positions 568 to 774 of the family's 1533-position model. The record is from RNAcentral.
CGUGUAGGCGGAUAUAUAAGUCAGAAGUGAAAUCCAAUAGCUUAACUAUUGAACUGCUUUUUGAAACUGUAUAUCUAGAAUGUGGGAGAGGUAGAUGGAAUUUCUGGUGUAGGGUAAAAUCCGUAGAGAUCAGAAGGAAUACCGAUUGCGAAGGCGAUCUACUGGAACAUUAUUGACGCUGAGACGCGAAAGCGUGGGAGCAAACA